Molecule: long non-coding RNA, 1813 nt
Organism: Panicum virgatum (switchgrass)
Lineage: Eukaryota; Viridiplantae; Streptophyta; Magnoliopsida; Poales; Poaceae
Exons: 2
Source: RefSeq, a predicted model, not a curated record
AUCUUCUUCCCUCUCCUCUCCCUGAUGCCGCUGACGCUCUCCCUGCUCGUCCACGCCCGCGCCUCCGCCUCCCCCUCCCCGUCUCGCUCUACGCCUGCCGCUCCACCGCUGCCGCCUCGCCCAGCUUGGCCACCCAACCUCCACCUCCCCGGCACCCGGCCCACACUAGAUCUGGCGGGGGCAUGCUCAGCGCGGCGGCUGGCGACCCCCCAAUGUGGAGGCCCUGGCCGGGCUCAGGCACGGCACCGGAGGCCUCGGCAGACUCGACCCACCAGAUCUCGCGCGGGCGGGGGCAGGAGCUGUGGUGGCACGACGGGCGGCUGCGGGAGUGGCGUGCGCCUAGAGGGAGCAGCGGUGGCUGGAGUUGCAGAGCUGCGCUCGCUCCCUUCGCUCUCCUACCCGCCAGCACGAGCACUACCGUCGCUUGAGCUCGGGGAGCCGUCGGGAGCUCGUGCAGCCUCGGAAGUAUGUGGACCACGUGCAGCCGCGCGGGAUCCGGCGGCUUGUCGAGCCCACACCAGCACGAGCACCGCACCUGAACACUCAUCAUGCCGCUUCAUACUGACAUGGGUGAAGUGCAGUUGUCGCUCGCCUCACUCGCCGCGCGACAUUUGGCGACGCACAUUAGGCAAAGGAUCUAUUUUCCGGCGAUUCGAGGCGAUGCCCAAUGGAAUGCAACGAUGGAGAUGGCCACAGUUUCGCCACGGCACGGGACGACGACGCUGGAGAUCUCCCCACACGCCCCUCGCCCGGCUCCCACACCUCUGCCACCUGUAGUCUUUUGCUCCCAGGAAGAACAAGGUGAGCAACUUUGGUGAGGCCCUAGAGGCCAGACACGUGGAGGAAAUAUUGCUUGUGAGCAAAAUCGAGUGAGAGGAAAUUCAUGAGGCUGCACGUCUAGCUCUUUUUUUUUAGGGCACAUCUCGAGAGCUUUUAUUCAUUUGCAGCAUCAUUACAAUCUCUACCAGCAAUCUCUACAAGCCAAUCUGGGAGAAUGCCGGACCAAGAAAACGAAGGGCUAGACUCCGAUGGCAUACUCGCACACUUGUGAGCAGCCUCUCAUUACCUUCCCUAUGAACAAAAGAAACAUCAAAAGCUACAAACCCAAUUCUAAGCUCUCCGAUUUCGUGCCAAAUUCCCGAGAUACCACUGCGAAUCCCUUCUUCCGAUCGAAUGAGGUUCGCCACAGACAGAUUGUCCACCUCCAAUAUCACUUCGGUUGCUUCCCGUUCAGUAGCAAGCAGCACACCAUCCCUUGCUGCCAAAGCUUCAGCCAUCGUCACAUCUGCAACGUUAGUAUUGGCGCGAGCUGCGGCAGCCAAAACUUCACCCUGGGAGUUUCUAAUCACCACGCCACUAGCUCCGGAUGAUGUACCAGCAGAGUAAGAAGCAUCUGUACAAGUUGAUCUUGAGCCAGCCUUCCGGCGGCCGACUCCAUCGGCUCCUAGACAUCGGCAUAUUCACCUCAUGUGUCUCAAUCGAGCAUACCAUGUCCUCCAACAUUGCUGCACGUCUAGCUCCUGAGGUAGCCGAGAGGUACAUGAAGGCAGCGCCACUCUCAUUCUCUUACCGAAUGCAUCACACUUAUUCUGUUCUAUUGGAACAUUAUUGUGUGAUUAGCUCUCCAAUUUCAAUAAAUGGAACGAUAUAAAUUGUUUCUCAACCGAAAACUGGGAUAUGAUAAAUCUGCUAGCUUUGUUUGUAUUAACCUAUACAAAUCAUAUAUUUCUAAGCAAUUUGCUGAAAAUGUUACUCCCUAUGUAACGACCCGGCCCGGGAUAACGGCUAAGAUCUACUCUACGCUUUGAGUAAA